GCUUCGGGCGCACCCAGAAACCCUUUGUGAACUUAUACCUAUCUGUUGCCUCGGCGCAGGCCGGCCUCUUCGCUGAGGCCCCCUGGAAACAGGGAGCAGCCCGCCGGCGGCCAACUAAACUCUUGUUUCUAUAGUGAAUCUCUGAGUAAAAAACAUAAAUGAAUCAAAACUUUCAACAACGGAUCUCUUGGUUCUGGCAUCGAUGAAGAACGCAGCGAAAUGCGAUAAGUAAUGUGAAUUGCAGAAUUCAGUGAAUCAUCGAAUCUUUGAACGCACAUUGCGCCCUCUGGUAUUCCGGAGGGCAUGCCUGUUCGAGCGUCAUUUCAACCCUCAAGCCUGGCUUGGUGAUGGGGCACUGCCUGUAAAAGGGCAGGCCCUGAAAUCUAGUGGCGAGCUCGCCAGGACCCCGAGCGUAGUAGUUAUAUCUCGCUUUGGAAGGCCCUGGCGGUGCCCUGCCGUUAAACCCCCAACUUCUGAAAAUUUGACCUCGGAUCAGGUAGGAAUACCCGCUGAACUUAAGCAUA
RNAcentral lists this ribosomal RNA (524 nucleotides) under Diaporthe sp. 24S. RNAcentral's name for it is "eukaryotic LSU rRNA". The stretch from base 168 to 321 matches the Rfam family "5.8S ribosomal RNA". The record is from RNAcentral. Lineage: Eukaryota; Fungi; Ascomycota; Sordariomycetes; Diaporthales; Diaporthaceae.